UACGUAGGGGGCGAGCGUUGUCCGGAUUUAUUGGGCGUAAAGAGCUCGUAAGCGGCUUGGCAAGUCGGGUGUGAAACCUCCAGGCUCAACCUGGAGACGCCACUCGAUACUGCCAUGGCUAGAGUCCGGUAGGGGACCACGGAAUUCCUGGUGUAGCGGUGAAAUGCGCAGAUAUCAGGAGGAACACCGGUGGCGAAGGCGGUGGUCUGGGCCGGCACUGACGCUGAGGAGCGAAAGCGUGGGUAGCAAACAGG
This 254-nucleotide ribosomal RNA is filed under the name uncultured bacterium. RNAcentral's name for it is "partial 16S ribosomal RNA". It matches the Rfam family "Bacterial small subunit ribosomal RNA", at positions 524 to 776 of the family's 1533-position model. The record is from RNAcentral.